This 801-nucleotide ribosomal RNA is filed under the name Triticum aestivum (bread wheat). RNAcentral describes it as "partial small subunit ribosomal RNA". The record is from RNAcentral. Lineage: Eukaryota; Viridiplantae; Streptophyta; Magnoliopsida; Poales; Poaceae.
AUGGACCUACCUUUCCUCACUUCCCUCUCACAUUUGCUGUAUUGCAACUUCGUCUGGUCGGUAGGCAUAGGCCGACGGAUAAUCCCGGAUAAGCCGCAAGCAACACCAAUGGCGCCGCCGCUUUUGCUCCUCCUGCUGCUGCCGCUCCUCGCCGUGGCUGCCGAGGCCGUCCCUCCCACGCCGACGCCGCGGUCCAACCCCGCGGCAGCAGCAGGCGGCGGUGCUCCCCCGGUGCCGACGCCGACGCCGUGGCCGGAGCAGUUCCACGCGGUGAUGUUCACGAACCUGACCGAGAGCGGCGGCCGGCUGCAGCUCAUCGACCUCUACUACGACUGGCCCCGCGGCCGCAACCUGAACCUCAUCCGCAACCAGCUCUCCGGCGACCCGACCUACGACGUGGAGUGGACCAACGGCACCUCCUACAUCUUCGACUCCGCCUCCUGCCGCACCAUACGCUUCCCCGUCGGCGUCCUGCCCCCGUACUGGCUCCACGGCGCCGUCUACCUCGGCCGCGAGACCACCGAUGGCUUCGACUGCCACCUCUGGACCAAGGUCGAUUUCGUGUGGUACUACGAGGACGUCCUCACCCACCGCCCCGUCCGCUGGAACUUCUUCAAUGGGAUGCAGCAGCAUGUGAUGAGCUUCGAGGUGGGCGGGGUGCUAGAGGACUCCCACUGGCAGGCACCCUCGCACUGCUUCGCUGACGAUGCCGCCGCCACCGCCACCGGAGCCGAUGCGACGAGCAGCCUCCUCAGGCUCGCACGGACGACCGCAGCGGCUGUAACAUCUUCUGCGGCUUAA